GACGAACGCUGGCGGCGUGCCUAAUACAUGCAAGUCGAGCGGACUGAAUGGGAGCUUGCUCUUGUUCGGUCAGCGGCGGACGGGUGAGUAACACGUGGGCAACCUGCCCGCAAGACCGGGAUAACUCCGGGAAACCGGAGCUAAUACCGGAUAACACCGAAGACCGCAUGGUCUUGGGUUGAAAGGCGGCGCAAGCUGCCACUUGCGGAUGGGCCCGCGGCACAUUAGCUAGUUGGUGAGGUAACGGCUCACCAAGGCGACGAUGCGUAGCCGGCCUGAGAGGGUGACCGGCCACACUGGGACUGAGACACGGCCCAGACUCCUACGGGAGGCAGCAGUAGGGAAUCUUCCGCAAUGGGCGAAAGCCUGACGGAGCGACGCCGCGUGAGCGAAGAAGGCCUUCGGGUCGUAAAGCUCUGUUGUGAGGGACGAAGGAGCGCCGUUUGAAGAAGGCGGCGCGGUGACGGUACCUCACGAGGAAGCCCCGGCUAACUACGUG
RNAcentral lists this ribosomal RNA (499 nucleotides) under uncultured bacterium. RNAcentral's name for it is "partial 16S ribosomal RNA". It matches the Rfam family "Bacterial small subunit ribosomal RNA", at positions 28 to 507 of the family's 1533-position model. The record is from RNAcentral.